RNAcentral lists this ribosomal RNA (344 nucleotides) under uncultured Synechococcus sp. Its description in RNAcentral is "bacterial SSU rRNA". It matches the Rfam family "Bacterial small subunit ribosomal RNA", at positions 1033 to 1378 of the family's 1533-position model. The record is from RNAcentral. Lineage: Bacteria; Bacillati; Cyanobacteriota; Cyanophyceae; Synechococcales; Synechococcaceae.
GACAGGUGGUGCAUGGCUGUCGUCAGCUCGUGUCGUGAGAUGUUGGGUUAAGUCCCGCAACGAGCGCAACCCACGUCUUUAGUUGCCAGCAUUUAGUUGGGCACUCUAGAGAGACCGCCGGUGAUAAACCGGAGGAAGGUGUGGAUGACGUCAAGUCAUCAUGCCCCUUACAUCCUGGGCUACACACGUACUACAAUGCUACGGACAAAGGGCAGCAAGUUCGCGAGGACAAGCAAAUCCCAUAAACCGUGGCUCAGUUCAGAUCGUAGGCUGCAACUCGCCUACGUGAAGGAGGAAUCGCUAGUAAUCGCAGGUCAGCAUACUGCGGUGAAUACGUUCCCGGG